GAUGAACGCUGGCGGCGUGCCUAAUACAUGCAAGUCGAGCGAACAGACGAGGAGCUUGCUCCUCUGACGUUAGCGGCGGACGGGUGAGUAACACGUGGAUAACCUACCUAUAAGACUGGGAUAACUUCGGGAAACCGGAGCUAAUACCGGAUAAUAUAUUGAACCGCAUGGUUCAAUAGUGAAAGACGGUUUUGCUGUCACUUAUAGAUGGAUCCGCGCCGCAUUAGCUAGUUGGUAAGGUAACGGCUUACCAAGGCAACGAUGCGUAUCCGACCUGAGAGGGUGGUCGGCCACACUGGAAGUGAGACGCCGUCCAGACUCCUACGGGAGGCAGCAGUAGGGAAUCUUCCGCAAUGGGCGAGAGCCUGACGGAGCAACGCCGCGUGAGUGAUGAAGGUCUUCGGAUCGUAAAGCUCUGUUAUUAGGGAAGAACAAAUGUGUAAGUAACUAUGCACGUCUUGACGGUACCUAAUCAGAAAGCCACGGCUAACUACGUG
This 497-nucleotide ribosomal RNA is filed under the name uncultured bacterium. Its description in RNAcentral is "partial 16S ribosomal RNA". It matches the Rfam family "Bacterial small subunit ribosomal RNA", at positions 28 to 507 of the family's 1533-position model. The record is from RNAcentral.